CCUACGGGAGGCAGCAGUGAGGAAUAUUGGUCAAUGGCCGGAAGGCUGAACCAGCCAUGCCGCGUGAAGGUCAGUGCCCUAUGGGCGUUAAACUUCUUUUGUGCGGGAGCAAUAAUGGUCACGUGUGGCCAGACGAGAGUACCGUACGAAUAAGCAUCGGCUAACUCCGUGCCAGCAGCCGCGGUAAUACGGGGGAAGCAAGCGUUAUCCGGGUUUAUUGGGUUUAAAGGGUGCGUAGGCUGUGAGGUAAGUCAGCGGGGAAAUGCCCCCGCUCAACGGGGUGAAGUGCCAUUGAUACUGCCUUGCUGGAAUGCGGAUGCCGUGGGAGGAAUGUGUGGUGUAGCGGUGAAAUGCAUAGAUAUCACACAGAACACCGAUUGCGAAGGCAUCUCACGAAUCCGCGAUUGACGCUGAUGCACGAAAGCGUGGGUAUCAAACAGGAUUAGAUACCCGGGUAGUC
This 460-nucleotide ribosomal RNA is filed under the name uncultured bacterium. Its description in RNAcentral is "partial 16S ribosomal RNA". It matches the Rfam family "Bacterial small subunit ribosomal RNA", at positions 338 to 795 of the family's 1533-position model. The record is from RNAcentral.